GGCCUUUUGAUAAUAAUUUAAGGUCGGGCCUGCCCAAUGAGGAUUUUAAUGGCCGCGGUAUUUUGACCGUGCAAAGGUAGCAUAAUCAUUAGUUUUUUAAUUGAAAGCUUGUAUGAAAGGUUUGAUGAAAAAAUAACUGUCUCUAAUUAAUUUUUUUAGAAUUUUAUUUUUAAGUAAAAAAGCUUAAAUAAUUAUAAAAGACGAGAAGACCCUAUAGAGUUUUAUAUAAUUAUGAAUAAUUAUAUUUUUAGAAUUUUAAUAAUAAUAUUUAAUAAUUAUAUUUUAUUGGGGUGAUAAAAAAAUUAAUUAAACUUUUUUUGUAUUUUUACAUUAAUAGGUGAAUUCUUGAUCCAUUAUUAUUGAUUAUAAGAAUAAAUUACCUUAGGGAUAACAGCGUAAUUUUUUUUUAGAGUUCAAAUCAAAAAAAAAGAUUGCGACCUCGAUGUUGGAUUAAAAUUAAGGAUUGGUGUAGCAGCUAGUUUAUUAAGUCUGUUCGACUUUUAAAAUUUUACAUGAUCUGAGUUUAGACCGGUGUAAG
This 538-nucleotide ribosomal RNA is filed under the name Eubulus sp. ARC5141. RNAcentral's name for it is "partial 16S large subunit ribosomal RNA". It matches the Rfam family "Bacterial large subunit ribosomal RNA", at positions 1819 to 2625 of the family's 2925-position model. The record is from RNAcentral. Lineage: Eukaryota; Metazoa; Arthropoda; Insecta; Coleoptera; Curculionidae.